RNAcentral lists this microRNA precursor (102 nucleotides) under Marmota monax (woodchuck). Lineage: Eukaryota; Metazoa; Chordata; Mammalia; Rodentia; Sciuridae. The record is from RNAcentral.
AACCCAGUUGCUGGCUUGUAUGAUAAAGUAUGUCCACUUUUGUAAGAAAUGUCCAAACUGUCUUCCAAACUAGCUGUACCAUUUUGCAUUCCCAUAAGCAAU